GACGAACGCUGGCGGCGUGCUUAACACAUGCAAUUCUAACGGAAAGGCCCUGCUUUUGUGGGGUGCUCGAGUGGCGAACGGGUGAGUAACACGUGAGUAACCUGCCCUUGACUUUGGGAUAACUUCAGGAAACUGUGGCUAAUACCGGAUAGGAGCUCCUGCUGCAUGGUGGGGGUUGGAAAGUUUCGGCGGUUGGGGAUGGACUCGCGGCUUAUCAGCUUGUUGGUGGGGUAGUGGCUUACCAAGGCUUUGACGGGUAGCCGGCCUGAGAGGGGGACCGGCCACAGUAGGACUGAGAUACGGCACAGACACAUACGGGAAGAAGCAGUGGGGGAUAUCGCACAAUGGGCAGAAGACUGAUGCAGCAACGACACGUGCAGGAUGAAGGACUUCGAGUUGUAAACCGCUUUCGCCUGUGACGAAGCAUGAGUGACGGUAAUGGGUAAAGAAGCAACGGCUAACUACGUG
This 468-nucleotide ribosomal RNA is filed under the name uncultured bacterium. Its description in RNAcentral is "partial 16S ribosomal RNA". It matches the Rfam family "Bacterial small subunit ribosomal RNA", at positions 28 to 507 of the family's 1533-position model. The record is from RNAcentral.